GAUGAACGCUGGCGGCGUGCCUAAUACAUGCAAGUCGAGCGAACAGACGAGGAGCUUGCUCCUCUGACGUUAGCGGCGGACGGGUGAGUAACACGUGGAUAACCUACCUAUAAGACUGGGAUAACUUCGGGAAACCGGAGCUAAUACCGGAUAAUAUAUUGAACCGCAUGGUUCAAUAGUGAAAGACGGUUUUGCUGUCACUUAUAGAUGGAUCCGCGCCGCAUUAGCUAGUUUGUAAGGUAACGGCUUACCAAGGCAACGAUGCGUAGCCGACCUGAGAGGGUGAUCGGCCACACUGGAACUGAGGCACGGUCCAGACUCCUACGGGAGGCAGCAGUAGGGAAUCUUCCGCAAUGGGCGAAAGCCUGACGGAGCAACGCCGCGUGAGUGAUGAAGGUCUUCGGAUCGUAAAACUCUGUUAUUAGGGAAGAACAAAUGUGUAAGUAACUAUGCACGUCUUGACGGUACCUAAUCAGAAAGCCACGGCUAACUACGUG
Molecule: ribosomal RNA, 497 nt
Filed under: uncultured bacterium
Lineage: Bacteria
Description: partial 16S ribosomal RNA
Rfam family: Bacterial small subunit ribosomal RNA
Source: RNAcentral